This 73-nucleotide transfer RNA is filed under the name Emticicia aquatica. Its description in RNAcentral is "tRNA-Thr". It matches the Rfam family "tRNA". From Rfam's summary of the family: Transfer RNA (tRNA) molecules are approximately 80 nucleotides in length. Their secondary structure includes four short double-helical elements and three loops (D, anti-codon, and T loops). Further hydrogen bonds mediate the characteristic L-shaped molecular structure. tRNAs have two regions of fundamental functional importance: the anti-codon, which is responsible for specific mRNA codon recognition, and the 3' end, to which the tRNAs corresponding amino acid is attached (by aminoacyl-tRNA synthetases). tRNAs cope with the degeneracy of the genetic code in two manners: having more than one tRNA (with a specific anti-codon) for a particular amino acid; and 'wobble' base-pairing, i.e. permitting non-standard base-pairing at the 3rd anti-codon position. Lineage: Bacteria; Pseudomonadati; Bacteroidota; Cytophagia; Cytophagales; Leadbetterellaceae. The record is from RNAcentral.
GCCUUCAUAGCUCAGUGGUAGAGCACUUCCUUGGUAAGGAAGAGGUCGGCAGUCCGAUUCUGCUUGAAGGCUC